RNAcentral lists this ribosomal RNA (1056 nucleotides) under uncultured Bacteroidales bacterium. RNAcentral's name for it is "bacterial SSU rRNA". It matches the Rfam family "Bacterial small subunit ribosomal RNA", at positions 32 to 1087 of the family's 1533-position model. The record is from RNAcentral. Lineage: Bacteria; Pseudomonadati; Bacteroidota; Bacteroidia; Bacteroidales.
AACGCUAGCUACAGGCUUAACACAUGCAAGUCGAGGGGCAGCGCAGUGUAGCAAUACAUGGGCGGCGACCGGCGCACGGGUGCGUAACGCGUAUCCAACCUUCCCGUUACUCUUGGAUAGCCUUCCGAAAGGGAGAUUAAUACAGGAUGGUAUUCAAAAGUCACAUGUCAUUUGAAUUAAAGAUUUAUCGGUAACGGAUGGGGAUGCGUACCAUUAGCUUGUUGGCGGGGUAACGGCCCACCAAGGCAACGAUGGUUAGGGGUUCUGAGAGGAAGGUCCCCCACACUGGAACUGAGACACGGUCCAGACUCCUACGGGAGGCAGCAGUGAGGAAUAUUGGUCAAUGGCCGGAAGGCUGAACCAGCCAAGUAGCGUGAAGGAUGAAGGUUCUAUGGAUUGUAAACUUCUUUUAUACGGGAAUAAAGCCCGCUACGUGUAGCGGUUUGUAUGUACCGUAUGAAUAAGCAUCGGCUAACUCCGUGCCAGCAGCCGCGGUAAUACGGAGGAUGCGAGCGUUAUCCGGAUUUAUUGGGUUUAAAGGGAGCGUAGACGGGAUGUUAAGUCAGUUGUGAAAGGCUGCGGCUCAACCGCAGCACUGCAGUUGAUACUGGUUACCUUGAGUGCGUACGAGGUACGUGGAAUUCGUGGUGUAGCGGUGAAAUGCUUAGAUAUCACGAAGAACCCCGAUUGCGAAGGCAGCGUACCAGUCCGUAACUGACGUUGAUGCUCGAAAGUGUGGGUAUCAAACAGGAUUAGAUACCCUGGUAGUCCACACGGUAAACGAUGGACACUCGCUGUUGGCGAUAUACUGUCAGCGGCCAAGCGAAAGCGUUAAGUGUCCCACCUGGGGAGUACGCCGGCAACGGUGAAACUCAAAGGAAUUGACGGGGGCCCGCACAAGCGGAGGAACAUGUGGUUUAAUUCGAUGAUACGCGAGGAACCUUACCCGGGCUUAAAUUACAGAGGACAGAUCCAGAGACGGAUCCUUCUUCGGACCUCUGUGAAGGUGCUGCAUGGUUGUCGUCAGCUCGUGCCGUGAGGUGUCGGCUUAAGUGC